AAUACGUUCCCGGGCCUUGUACACACCGUCCGUCACACCACGAAAGUCGGUAACACCCGAAGCCGGUGGCCCAACCCUUUGGGAGGGAGCCGUCGAAGGUGGGAUCGGCGAUUGGGGUG
RNAcentral lists this ribosomal RNA (119 nucleotides) under uncultured bacterium. RNAcentral describes it as "partial 16S ribosomal RNA". It matches the Rfam family "Bacterial small subunit ribosomal RNA", at positions 1365 to 1482 of the family's 1533-position model. The record is from RNAcentral.